This 518-nucleotide ribosomal RNA is filed under the name uncultured bacterium. RNAcentral's name for it is "bacterial SSU rRNA". It matches the Rfam family "Bacterial small subunit ribosomal RNA", at positions 8 to 518 of the family's 1533-position model. The record is from RNAcentral.
AGAGUUUGAUUCUGGCUCAGAACGACGCUGGCGGCGCGUUUAAGCAUGCAAGUCGAGCGGCAAGGGCCUUCGGGCCCCUAGAGCGGCGGACGGGUGAGUAACACGUGGACAAUCUGCCCCCCGGCCCGGGAUAGCCCAGGGAAACCUGGAUUAAUACCGGAUGAGACGGGACCCGCGAUGGCGGGACCCGGGAAAGGCGCUGCGGCGCCGCCGGGGGAUGAGUCUGCGUCCCAUUAGCUAGACGGCGGGGUAACGGCCCACCGUGGCGACGAUGGGUAGCCGGCCUGAGAGGGUGGACGGCCACAUUGGAACUGAGACACGGUCCAGACUCCUACGGGAGGCAGCAGCUAAGAAUCUUCCGCAAUGGGCGAAAGCCUGACGGAGCGACGCCCGCGUGAACGAAGAAGGCCGUGAGGUUGUAAAGUUCUUUUCGGGAGGGGAACAACCGUGGCAGGGAAUGGCCGCGGGAUGACGUGAAUCCCGGAAUAAGCCCCGGCUAACUACGUGCCAGCAGCCGC